GAAGAUGACAGCAAACCUAAGGUAUCGGAUCACGGACUAACCGGAAGUGACGAACACACAACUCAUACUCCAAAAUCAACUGAAUGUGGGAAUUUUCCUCUCGACUGUCCAAACCACUGUAUCGAGUUUGAUGAGUCGGGCUGUACAACAUGCACGUGCAAAAAUGGAAACAGCGAAUCAUCUUGGUACCAGGACAUAUGGAAUUAAACGUUUACAAACAUUGUUGACUGUUAUUCUG
Molecule: long non-coding RNA, 238 nt
Organism: Mizuhopecten yessoensis (Yesso scallop)
Lineage: Eukaryota; Metazoa; Mollusca; Bivalvia; Pectinida; Pectinidae
Exons: 3
Source: RefSeq, a predicted model, not a curated record